RNAcentral lists this long non-coding RNA (688 nucleotides) under Arachis hypogaea (peanut). RNAcentral describes it as "ENOD40_2". The stretch from base 105 to 379 matches the Rfam family "Early nodulin 40". Lineage: Eukaryota; Viridiplantae; Streptophyta; Magnoliopsida; Fabales; Fabaceae. The record is from RNAcentral.
AAAUCCAGGAGAAGAAGGGAAGAUUCAGAAGGGAAAAAUGAAAAAUCAGUUAGGUCAAGAAAAAAAAAAGAAUCAUCUAAACCAAUACAAGAAGUCCUGAAUCUAUGAAGCUUCUAUGCUGGCAAAAAUCUAUCCAUGGAUCUUGAAAGAAGCAUGGAGUGUUAUAAGUGUGAAGAGGGUUCAUUUGUUGUUUCACCCCUCACACUCAUAAAACUCCAAAAACAGUUUGCUUUGGCUUAAGCUAUGUUAUUAGCUUUUCUAUGAUCACUAAAGGGGGGAAGAAUCUUCUUGAUAGAGGAUCAUAUAGACAAGCUAUGGCGGCGAAAGCUCCGGCGAACCGGCAAGUCACAAGAAGGCAAUGGAUUCCAUUAAGGGUCCCUUUUAUAUGGCUCUAUAUAUAUAUCUAUGUUAUCUUAUAAUCAUCACUAUGAUCUUCAUGUAAUAAAAGGAAAACAUGUUCAUGUUCAUGUUCUCUUCUAUCUAUAGAUGAGUUGGUAGGUAUUAUUGCUUUGAUCAUUCUUGUUUUCCUUUUUAACUAUUCUCCUUCGUUGUGUCUUGUGUUCCUUUUUCUCUUGUGUGUAUGCUUGUUUGUGUUAUGCAAUAAAAAAGUAGAUUAUAAAGAAUACAAUAUUAAUAAGUGUGAGACAUUAUAUACGUUGAUUCAUAAAUCUUAGAAUUAUGAUAAACA